AUUGAACGCUGGCGGCAGGCCUAACACAUGCAAGUCGAACGGUAACAGGAAGCAGCUUGCUGCUUUGCUGACGAGUGGCGGACGGGUGAGUAAUGUCUGGGAAACUGCCCGAUGGAGGGGGAUAACUACUGGAAACGGUAGCUAAUACCGCAUAACGUCGCAAGACCAAAGAGGGGGACCUUAGGGCCUCUUGCCAUCGGAUGUGCCCAGAUGGGAUUAGCUAGUAGGUGGGGUAACGGCUCACCUAGGCGACGAUCCCUAGCUGGUCUGAGAGGAUGACCAGCCACACUGGAACUGAGACACGGUCCAGACUCCUACGGGAGGCAGCAGUGGGGAAUAUUGCACAAUGGGCGCAAGCCUGAUGCAGCCAUGCCGCGUGUAUGAAGAAGGCCUUCGGGUUGUAAGGUACUUUCAGCGGGGAGGAAGGGAGUAAAGUUAAUACCUUUACUCAUUGACGUUACCCGCAGAAGAAGCACCGGCUAACUCCGUG
RNAcentral lists this ribosomal RNA (490 nucleotides) under uncultured bacterium. Its description in RNAcentral is "partial 16S ribosomal RNA". It matches the Rfam family "Bacterial small subunit ribosomal RNA", at positions 30 to 507 of the family's 1533-position model. The record is from RNAcentral.